GUGUCCAUGGUGUAAUGGUUUGAGGGUCAGACUAUGACUCUGAAGACCAGGGUUCAAAUCCUCACUGAGACA
Phrynosoma platyrhinos (Desert horned lizard) is the source of this 72-nucleotide non-coding RNA. NCBI's taxonomy places the organism in Eukaryota, Metazoa, Chordata, Lepidosauria, Squamata, Phrynosomatidae. The record is from the annotation of a GenBank genome assembly.